RNAcentral lists this transfer RNA (69 nucleotides) under Eupolyphaga sp. NS-2016. RNAcentral describes it as "tRNA-Pro". The record is from RNAcentral. Lineage: Eukaryota; Metazoa; Arthropoda; Insecta; Blattodea; Corydiidae.
CAAAGAGUAGUUUAUUUAAAAUAUUAAUUUUGGGGAUUAAUGAUAAGUAUAUUCUUUUCUUUUCUUUGA